This 443-nucleotide ribosomal RNA is filed under the name uncultured bacterium. Its description in RNAcentral is "bacterial SSU rRNA". It matches the Rfam family "Bacterial small subunit ribosomal RNA", at positions 360 to 793 of the family's 1533-position model. The record is from RNAcentral.
AAUAUUGCACAAUGGGCGCAAGCCUGAUGCAGCCAUGCCGCGUGUGUGAAGAAGGCCUUCGGGUGUAAAGCACUUUCAGUUGUGAGGAAGGUGGUGUCGUUAAUAGCGGCAUCAUUUGACGUUAGCAACAGAAGAAGCACCGGCUAACUCCGUGCCAGCAGCCGCGGUAAUACGGAGGGUGCGAGCGUUAAUCGGAAUUACUGGGCGUAAAGCGCAUGCAGGUGGUUUGUUAAGUCAGAUGUGAAAGCCCCGGGGCUCAACCUCGGAACUGCAUUUGAAACUGGCAGACUAGAGUACUGUAGAGGGGGUAGAAUUUCAGGGUGUAGCGGUGAAAUGCGUAGAGAUCUGAAGGAAUACCGGUGGCGAAGGCGGCCCCCCUGGACAGAUACUGACACUCAGAUGCGAAAGCGUGGGGAGCAAACAGGAUUAGAUACCCCUGGUAG